RNAcentral lists this ribosomal RNA (427 nucleotides) under uncultured prokaryote. RNAcentral's name for it is "bacterial SSU rRNA". It matches the Rfam family "Bacterial small subunit ribosomal RNA", at positions 355 to 774 of the family's 1533-position model. The record is from RNAcentral.
CUAAGAAUAUUCCGCAAUGGACGAACGUCUGACGGAGCGACGCAGCGUGGAUGAAGAAGGCCGCAAGGUUGUAAAAUCCUUUUGCUGGGGAAGAAUAAGUCCAGGAGGGAAUGCCUGGAUGAUGACAUGAACCGGCGAAUAAGCCCCGGCCAACUACGUGCCAGCAGCCGCGGUAACACGUAGGGGGCAAGCGUUGUUCGGAAUUAUUUGGCGUAAAGGGCAUGUAGGCGGUUUAGUAAGCUUGGCGUGAAAGACCACAGCUCAACUGUGGGGUUGCGUUGAGAACUGCUGAACUUGAGUUACGGAGAGGGAGCUAGAAUUCCUGGUGUAGGGGUGGAAUCUGUAGAGAUCAGGAAGAAGACCGUUGGCGAAGGCAAGCUUCUUGCCGAUAACUGACGCUGUGGUGCGAAAGUGUGGGGAUCGAACA